UUCAUGCUUGUAAUUUUACAAAAUCAAAUGUAGUAUCAGGAAUUACAAAAAUCGUAAUUGUCCAAAGUCUUCAUCGUUAAAUUCCAAUAGAUCAAAGUCUUUUGGCACCAUUUUUAAUUGUCCACCAGAACUUUCCUACAAAAUAAAAUUAUUAAUUAGAUAGAAAUUCAUAGUAUGCAAGUGCAAACUCAGAGCAAUGUGGUAGAGUUGGCCCCUUGGGGACUCAGGACAAUACUAUCACAUAUAAGUAAGAGAUAUACAUAUACACGACUUAAACAAAUGACAGAGUAGAGGAAAAUCUAUAUAUGUUGUAGUGCUAAGAUGAAAAUGUAAUCGAAUGAUUCGAGUAACAGAGCCUAUGGACAAAAAUCAUGCUCAAUUGGCCUUCCUCAUUUGUUUUCUUAACAUCCAGGCAUCUAGUUAUAUUCUCUCAAUAGUAUGAUUAUGUUGCUUCCUUUUGUUUAAUUCCUGUAUACUGAUGGAAAAACUAGAUUAGUGGAUUUCUUUUCCAAAAUGAACAUUAACUUAACAUAUAGCAUAUACUCAAUCAGCUCACUUUCAAUUAAGCUAAAAAUAACUAGAUACAAACACCUUACCCAAAUCAAGGAUGUUGUUAGCUAGAAUUUGGUAUGUCCAGUCUGCUAUCUGAUUAAUAGUUUUUGAGAUAGAAAUGUAAUCUACCAGUGAGUACCUCUUACAGGUGACUAUAAUCACUUAGCUAUCAUUGUAUCUUAGAAUCUUGCAAGAAAUUAAAAGUGUAGGUACAACUUCUAUUCCAUUAACCCUCCAAUCUGUAUAGAGAGAUACUAAAAAACUUUCAUCAGACAAUUUGCUAACUCAAUUUUACCCUCAAGCAAUAUUGGUCUCAAUAUUUUAAAUACCUAUUAUAAUAAAGAUAAUCAUGUAGAUCUUUAUUCACUUAAAAGCUGAGCUAAACAAAGGGAAGGGGGGGGGGGACAUUUAAAAUGUUUUGUGUGAUUGAAAGUGAGUGAAAAAGAUAUACCUGUUGGGAAGUGGAUACCUUCAUUCACUUGGCAUCCUCUUUAAAUUCAUAAUUGUUGGAGUUACCAGAAAAAAAUUCAUUUCAAGAUAUCUGAAAUUAAUUCUCAAACAACAAGAUUUGUAUUUGUGUACUUCCCAUUCUAGCAAACAAAAAAUAAGAUAGUAAGCCAAAGAAGACAAAUCCAAAUUUACCUCUUCAGUUGACUCAAAGGAAGAUCUUAAGCUGAGAUAAUACACAAUAGAGACUAAAUCAACAAUAGAAAUAUGCAAGUUUCAUAUAUCAAGAGAUAAAGAAUGAAGGAGAAAGACGAUAAAUUGUGUAUUAUGCUCAACUAAUCGAUAUACUGCAGAACAUUUUCUUUCCAAAGAUGGCACAUCCAAAGUUUGAUUACCUGGUCGAUGUAUAUUUUCUAUCAAUUAAUCCUCCUACAACAAUUUUAAGGAGAGCAGGAAGUUAAUAGCUAAAAAGUUAGUUUACCCAGUUUACUUACCAACUAUGCCAAUGAAUAAUGCCUUAACAUACCUCUGAAGUACCCCUAUCCUUUUUCUUUGCCUUCCUCACUUUUGCUCUACGUUGAUCUUAUUUGAGAACAUGAAGAAUCCUUUGUUCACUCCAAUGUCCACAUGUAUAACCUAUACUAAAGCAAGCAAGAACUGAAUUGAUGCAAAAUACAAUACUGUCACAAGUAGGACAAUAUCUUUAAAAUUUGAGAUUUCAACCACAAAGUUAAAAUCUUAAUAACAUUAGAACUAAAUAUUGUGCUAGCAUAAAAAAAUAAAUAGUAUGCGUCAAUUGAUAUGCCAAAUUGAUCUACCUAACUAACAUAUUGCCAUGUUUAUUCAAUAUCAAACUAGAGCCUUAGUCUUAGCUUCAGAAGCUAUACAAUUAAUAAUGAGAGAGAACAAGAAUUAGCUACUAGACAAUAGAAUGUCAGAAUAAGAAUUUGUGCCCAGAUUAUAUAAUUGUAAAAAGUUAUUCUCCUCCAAAAUACAAGUAAAGGUCAUCUCUCCCCCUUAUGGGCUAGAGAACGUCAUAUAACUAAAUCUCAUUUACAAUAGAGAAAACUAAAUCCCAUUGUAAUUGAAGUAUAUCUUCAUCACUAUCUCAUAUUUUUAUCAUUAAUUCAUAAAGCUUCAUGAAAAAAAGUACCAUAUCUUCUUGCACAUCUUUUAAUUAUCAAACCAUAUAAAUAACAAAAUAUUUUAGUUUCAACUACCAAGCCUCAAUAUAUGCCAUUAAGUCAUAAGCAUUUAUACGUUUAUGCUACAAAAACUUUAUGUCAAACUUAAGUAGAAAACUUAGACUAACAUUUUGAACUCCACAAUUGGGAAGUAACACUAUAAUGCUUCAAAUGCAAAACAAAAACAUACAAAGCACUGAAGAAAGUAAUUCGACAACAAAAGGACAUAAUAAUAGUUGUACUAUGAAAAGAAAUACAGCUGCUGCAGAGUUGUAUAAAAUGACAGUAGCAGCAACAGUAUACCAUGUAUGGAAAGAAAGGAAUACUAGAAUUUUUCAAGCAAAGGUGACAGGUUGGGAAGCAAUGAGUAAGAAGAUCAUUCAAGAGAUACAUUACCGAAGUACCAAACAUACAGCGGGGAUACUACAUAGACUAGAUUGGUACCCAGUGUAAUAGUUAGAUAUAAGUGUAUAUAACAGCAUAUGGGGAGGGGGUGAAGUAUAGGAAAGAAGGUUAUCUUGUAAGGUUUUUUUUUUUGACUUACUUGUAAAUAUUUUUCCCUGGUAAUACAAAGUUUAAUUACCAAAAAAAAAUAGAAAAUAGUUGUACUAUGAAAUGAAGCAAGAUGUGGCAGACAUGAAAAUUGUGUCGCACAUACAAACUAACAAGUUAUUAAAAUAUAUAAGCAUAUAAGAAAAGGCAAACCAAAUAGGUCCAGAAAUUUUCAUCUCAUAAAAAUACCUUCUUAAUGCUUCAGUUCCUUUUCAAACACUCAUUAUUGCUUUUUGUCAAUCCAUAUUUGAUACUAAAUUUAUGCUUCCUACUAAUUCUUUCAAAUUCUUACUAUUUAUCCAACAAAUUUCACUUCAUUAAUUGACUUCAAAACCAAAAUGAUUUCAACGGUAAGGAUAGGUCAGACAAACAUUCCAUCAAACAGGUAAUAUGCAAUGGUCAAUCCCAAAAGAAAUUCUGCAAAUAGGCAAAGCUAGUAUAGAAAUGUUUAAGAUCUAAACACAUGUACGUUUAAACUUAAGACUAGUACUAUGAAACAAACACAAAUGAAAUCUGUAUUUGAACUCUGUUGAAAUUUUCUUUUUCCUGAUUGAAUUUCACUUAAGCAAAUAUUGGCAUAUAUAAGAGUACAUUUCAGAAAGAAAAUGAGACAUCGCUACAAAUUUUAGGGUGGAGGCAAAUUCGGCACAAGAGGUGAUAGUGUCUAUGCAGAUUAUGGCGGAGGUUGGCAAAACAGAAAACCUAAUGAACUGAUGUCAUUAGGAGGGAAACUAUUUGCACUUUCAAAAUGGGGGGAAAUGUUUCACGGGAAAUUUUAAUGGUAGGAGGAAUUUUAUUGAAUUUCUUUAGCGCACACUAGUGAAGUGUUGCUUUUAGAAUUAUGAAUACAACUCACUCUAAAAGCAUCGCAAUAUAAAUGAAUAAGUGUUGCCAAUUAAUUUAUGUUUGGCAGCACUUAAGUUGCGUUGUCUCAGUCUAAAAGAUAUGUUUCGCAAGCGUGGCCAUAAAAU
This 3706-nucleotide long non-coding RNA is filed under the name Nicotiana tabacum (common tobacco). RNAcentral's name for it is "long non-coding RNA (NTAB_LNC011599)". The record is from RNAcentral. Lineage: Eukaryota; Viridiplantae; Streptophyta; Magnoliopsida; Solanales; Solanaceae.